GCUGGGCGUGGUGGUGCAUGCCUGUAAUCCCAGCUACUUGGGAGGCUGAGGCAGGAGAAUCGCUUGAACCCAGCUGAGAGAGACUGCAGUGAGCAGAGAUCACACCAGUCACUCCAGCCUGGGCAACAGAGUGAGACUCUGCCUCAA
This is an unclassified non-coding RNA of Pongo abelii (Sumatran orangutan), 147 nucleotides long. It matches the Rfam family "Metazoan signal recognition particle RNA". Rfam says of the family: The signal recognition particle (SRP) is a universally conserved ribonucleoprotein. It is involved in the co-translational targeting of proteins to membranes. The record is from Ensembl. Lineage: Eukaryota; Metazoa; Chordata; Mammalia; Primates; Hominidae.